AGAUCGAAUGGGGAGAUUCAGCGUCAGCUGCGUCGGCUUGGGUGUGGCUCGCGAUGCUCAGUUGCCUCGGCUGCUUCGGCUGUCGGUGGUUCUAUUGGGCACGCGGUCGCGCUCCAUGUCCGGCGUUUUUCAAACGCCGGCGUGCACUUCUCCCCUAGUAGGACGUCGCGACCCGUUGGGUGUUGGUCUACGGCCCGCGAGGUUGCCUGCGAGGUGCCGCGUGUCAAAGCGCGCGCCUCGCAGACCCGCGGUUUGCCCGGCCGACUGCCCGGCGGUAUAGAUCGCAUACAGGUAACGAGCCGCAUUUUUAAUGCGUUCCUAUUUUGAAUAUGGCUCGUCGGCAGGUGAGCCUCGCUCGGUAUUACGGACCUAGCGCCGUUGCCGGGUGUUCAGAUUGCUUCGCCGUUUCGCCGACGAUGUCCUCGGACGGGCUCAUUUAGUUGACGCGCUGGGUAACCGGCGCGUUCUACCGGUCGGCGACGCUACUGCUUUGGGUACUUUCAGGACCCGUCUUGAAACACGGACCAAGGAGUCUAACAUGUGCGCGAGUCAUUGGGACUGUUUUUUUUAAAACUAAGCCUAAAGGCGCAAUGAAAGUGAAGGUCCGCUUUUAUCAGCGCGACCGAGGGAGGAUGGCUCUCGUUACGACGCGGAGCCCGCACUCCCGGGGCGUCUCGUGCUCAUUGCGAGCUGAGGCGCACCCAGAGCGUACACGUUGGGACCCGAAAGAUGGUGAACUAUGCCUGGUCAGGACGAAGUCAGGGGAAACCCUGAUGGAGGUCCGUAGCGAUUCUGACGUGCAAAUCGAUCGUCGGAACUGGGUAUAGGGGCGAAAGACUAAUCGAACCAUC
Molecule: ribosomal RNA, 851 nt
Filed under: Megaphragma cockerilli
Lineage: Eukaryota; Metazoa; Arthropoda; Insecta; Hymenoptera; Trichogrammatidae
Description: partial large subunit ribosomal RNA
Rfam family: Eukaryotic large subunit ribosomal RNA
Source: RNAcentral